Molecule: ribosomal RNA, 855 nt
Filed under: uncultured bacterium
Lineage: Bacteria
Description: bacterial SSU rRNA
Rfam family: Bacterial small subunit ribosomal RNA
Source: RNAcentral
CACGGCGCACGGGUGCGUAACACGUGGGCAAUCUGCCCUCCGAUGGGGAAUAACUCCGGGAAACCGAAGCUAAUUCCGCAUAACAUUCCCUGGACUCCGGUUUGGGGAUUCAAAGCAGCAAUGCGUCGGAGGAGGAGCCCGCGCCCGAUUAGCUAGUUGGUGAGGUAACGGCUCACCAAGGCUAUGAUCGGUAGCUGGUCUGAGAGGAUGGCCAGCCACACUGGAACUGAGACACGGUCCAGACUCCUACGGGAGGCAGCAGUGGGGAAUCUUGCGCAAUGGGCGAAAGCCUGACGCAGCGACGCCGCGUGGGGGAUGAAGCUUCUCGGAGUGUAAACCCCUUUCGACUGGGACGGAUGCCCGCAAGGGAGUGACGGUACCGGUAGAAGAAGCCCCGGCUAACUACGUGCCAGCAGCCGCGGUAAGACGUAGGGGGCCAGCGUUGUUCGGAAUUACUGGGUGUAAAGGGUUCGUAGGCGGUGUGGCAAGUCGGGAGUGAAAUUUCUGGGCUUAACUCAGAACCUGCUUCCGAAACUGCUGUGCUGGAGUGUGGGAGAGGCGCGUGGAAUUGCAGGUGUAGCGGUGAAAUGCGUAGAUAUCUGCAGGAACACCCGUGGCGAAAGCGGCGCGCUGGACCACUACUGACGCUGAGGAACGAAAGCUAGGGGAGCAAACAGGAUUAGAUACCCUGGUAGUCCUAGCCCUAAACGAUCAGGACUUGGGGUGCCACCCGUUCGGGUGUCGUCCCGGAGCUAACGCGUUAAGUCCUGCACCUGGGGAGUACGGUCGCAAGACUGAAACUCAAAGGAAUUGACGGGGGCCCGCACAAGCGGUGGAACAUGUGGUUCAAUUCGA